This 855-nucleotide ribosomal RNA is filed under the name uncultured Bacteroidota bacterium. RNAcentral's name for it is "bacterial SSU rRNA". It matches the Rfam family "Bacterial small subunit ribosomal RNA", at positions 70 to 902 of the family's 1533-position model. Lineage: Bacteria; Pseudomonadati; Bacteroidota. The record is from RNAcentral.
AAAGUCCCCUUCGGGGGAUAAGUAAAGUGGCGUCCGGGUGAGUAACACGUAGGUAAUCUACCUUCGGGUGGGGAAUAACCCAGGGAAACUUGGGCUAACACCGCAUAAUGCAGCGGCACCACAUGGUGACAGUUGUUAAAGCGGGGGAUUUUAGGACCUCGCGCCUGAAGAGGAGCCUGCGGCGGAUUAGCUAGUUGGUAAGGUAACGGCUUACCAAGGCGACGAUCCGUAGCCGGCCUGAGAGGGCGGUCGGCCACACUGACACUGACAUACGGGUCAGACUCCUACGGGAGGCAGCAGUCGGGAAUUUUGGGCAAUGGGCGAAAGCCUGACCCAGCAACGCCGCGUGAAGGAUGAAAUCCCUCGGGAUGUAAACUUCGCAAGAAUGGGAAGAAUUAGCGAGCGCUAAUACCGCUCGUGAUGACGGUACCAUUUGUAAGCUCCGGCUAACUCCGUGCCAGCAGCCGCGGUAAUACGGGGGGAGCAAGCGUUGUUCGGAUUUACUGGGCGUAAAGGGCGCGUAGGCGGUCAGCACAAGUCAGUUGUGAAAUCUCCGGGCUUAACUCGGAAAGGUCAACUGAUACUGUGCGACUAGAGUGCGGAAGGGGCAACUGGAAUUCUCGGUGUAGCGGUGAAAUGCGUAGAUAUCGAGAGGAACACCUGCGGCGAAGGCGGGUUGCUGGGCCGACACUGACGCUGAGGCGCGAAAGCCAGGGGAGCGAACGGGAUUAGAUACCCCGGUAGUCCUGGCCUUAAACGAUGGAUGCUUGGUGUCUGGGGUUUUAUAGUCCCCGGGUGCCGUAGCUAACGCGUUAAGCAUCCCGCCUGGGGAGUACGGUCGCAAGACUGAAACUC